GAGUUCCCGUCGUGGUGCAGUGGUUAACGAAUCCGACUAGGAACCAUGAGGUUGCAGGUUCGAUCCCUGGCCUUGCUCAGUGGGUUAAAGGAUCUGGUGUUGCCGUGAGCUGUGGUGUAGGUCGCAGACACAGCUCGGAUCCCGCGUUGCUGUGGCUCUGGCGUAGGCUGGCAGCUACAGCUCCGAUUAAACCCCUAGCCUGGGAACCUCCAUGUGCCAUGGGAGCCGCCCUAGAAAAGGCAAAAAGACAAAAUAAAUAAAUAAAUAAGUAAAUAUAAAUAAAUAAAUAUAAAUAUACUAAAAGCUCAGGUAGAAGGCAUGGGGAUUGAAUUUGAGACAUCAUGGCUCGACAAUUUUCUGGUUAGGGAUCAGAAAGCAACAGAAAACUUUUUGUAGUCCUUUUUGGAAAACUUUUCAAAAUUGAGAAAUUCAUUUUCUGACCAUUGCAUGGACUGAUGCAGUGGUAUCUCAAGCUAGAGAAGUAUACUCUAGGGGUUGCUUUAGGUGGACGUUGUCGAGUGUACAUAUAAGAAUAUCUAUAUUUAAUAAAAAAUAAUAAAUCUUUUAUUUAUGUAUAAUAACAAAAUACUAUAUAUAAUUGCAUAUGUAAACACAAUGUUGUCAUUCCUUAGUCUGUUUGAUGACAGUCACAGUGACCUCAUGUGAUAUUUCUGAGGUAUCCCAGAACAAAAGUAUGGAGGAAUGGACCAAAAUGCUCAUUUAUUAGUUUAAUUUCAACCUACUGCAAGAUAUUGCAGUUUACAUCUUGCCAGUUAGAUUUCUCAAUCACAUUAUCAACUUUUAAAAAAACUAACUCUUAUAAAAUGACUCAAAGAUGCCUACAAAAAAUAUUGAUGAUAUCACUAAUAAUGUAAGCAUGACUGAACAAGAAAUUGAGGGAUUCUUUGUCAACUAUACAUUAUUACUUUAAAUACAAAACAAAACAAAUCCAAAAACAUGAUGAUCUAAUUAGACCCACUAAAAUGUUAGCCUACAAAGUUCAAAGUUAACAAGACUUUGAUAUAUGAAUUUAUAUCCUGUAUGUAUAUCUCCUGCAGUAACAGUGAAUUUCACUUUGAAUAUGUUUUCUGUCUUAAGACAUUAGCUAAUUAUGACAUUGCAUGUGUAUAAUUUAUAAAUAAACAUACAUCUACUGAGAGGAUGUGUUCAAAGUAAGACAACACAGUGGAUUUUAUUAUCUACAAAGUUUGAAGACCACUAUCUUAAUACAACUUCUUACUGUAUUAGCAAUAUUUAUUUACAUGUCUGUUUUCUGUACUAAAUAUAAUUUCCUUGGGGAGAAAGACCAUAUCUUAUGUUUAUAUCUAAAAUAUGUAGCUUUUGGUUUUUCAGUGGUAGAUGCUCAAUUAAUAUCUGCUAAAUGGAAAUAGGAGAAUAUAGGAAGACAACAUUAAAAGGCAUCCUCAUUUCUAUUUCCGAAUAGACAAUUUUUUGUCAUUUGAGCUUGGAAAAUGCACUUUUAUGUUCCUUAUCUAGAAAGUGGGGUGAAUACUUCCUGUUCUUCCUAUCUCAAUGGUCUCUUGUGAAGCUCACAUGUAAAAAUAAAUAUAAAAUUUAAGGCCAUGUAGAGCUCUGAUAUAUUCAUACUAUUUUUCAAAUAUAAACUACUUUGGAAGCUUAGUAUCAUGAAAAACUAUGGAAAGAAAAUGACAGAAGGGAAAAAUAUUAACUAUGUCCUGAGAGUUCCCGUCGUGGCGCAGUGGUUAACGAAUCCAACUAGGAACUAUGAGGUUGCAGGUUCGGUCCCUGCCCUUGCUCAGUGGGUUAAGGAUCUGGCAUUGCCGUGAGCUGUGGUGUAGGUUGCAGACGCGGCUCGGAUCCCGCAUUGCUGUGGCUCUGGCGUAGGCCGGCGGCUACAGCUCUGAUUCGACCCCUAGCCUGGGAACCUCCAUAUGCCACGGGAGCGGCCCAAGAAAUAGCAAAAGGACAAAAAAACAAAAACAAAAAAAAACUAUGUCCUGAAAAUUAAAUACCUUUUAGUGUGUUUUGCCUUUGGGAUGCAACACUUCCCUCCAAUUGUUCAAACAAAUUCUUUAAAUGAAUGCAUUGUAAAUGGUACAGGGUUUUUGUUUUGUUUGAAAAGGAGAAAGAGGGAAAUGUAGACAUUGCUUAUUUCCAAAUACCUUGUAUAGUCUAAGGAAGUGGUGUCAGCAUUCCCUUUGUUCUUAUUUUAGUCAGUUCUACUUAAAAAGAACUCAGAGAUAAGAAAUGAAAAUGGAAAGCACAAAAAGGAAACCAUUGGGGUGGGUUCCCCUUUUGAUUUCAGACUAAUUUCCUGAGAAUGUGAAGCUAAUAGUCACAUGAGAAGGCAAGUGUGAUACUUCAUUUCUAUUUUGUUAACUAAGGUAACCAAAUAACCUUUUUUUUUUUCUAUGAGUAACUACAGCAGUUUAAUGAAAUCAGGGAGAUGUGGCACCUUGGAAGAAAGGAGUUCGGUAUUAAAAUCUCAGGUUUUUUUAUAGAUACGGACCCAAGGAGCAGAAAAAAAGGAGUGAGGUUUAUGUGGAGUGAGGCUGACCUAUCCUACUUGAUCAAAGUUAAGUUUCAUGAGCAAUCCAGGUGAGUUACUUCCUGGUUGUGCUCUAAUAUUACCUAUACCCACAAACCUCUUAUACUAUCUUCCCACUUCUCAAAUUAGUCUAUGAUUGCCUCCAUUUUGUUUUCACUUCCCUUCUGCUAUUCUCUUUUACUCCUUUUGCUUCUUCCAUGUGUGCUCUUGUCUGUUUAAGAAGAUACAUAUGUGAUUAUGUAUAUGAAUAGAUACAUCUAUGUAAAUGAUGAAGGACAACUUAUAAGCACUGAAUAAACGUUUUGAAAUAAAUGUAACAGUAAUUUGCAAUUGGAUAUUUUUCUUGCUGUUCUGUUUUCAACUAAAUGAUUUAACUGAUGAUUGAUACUUUCAAUAGUAUAUCAAAAUAGAGCAUGUCAUAGUGCCAGUAUACUACCUAUCCCUCAGUGAUUAUUCAACUCAUUCAUUUAGAACAUACUUAUUGAGACAAUGUAUGUCAGGUACUAGUUUUAGGUACUUGGGCAACAUCAGU
RNAcentral lists this long non-coding RNA (3062 nucleotides) under Sus scrofa (pig). RNAcentral's name for it is "lncRNA (ENSSSCG00000055173.1)". The record is from RNAcentral. Lineage: Eukaryota; Metazoa; Chordata; Mammalia; Artiodactyla; Suidae.